This 305-nucleotide ribosomal RNA is filed under the name uncultured bacterium. Its description in RNAcentral is "bacterial SSU rRNA". It matches the Rfam family "Bacterial small subunit ribosomal RNA", at positions 333 to 655 of the family's 1533-position model. The record is from RNAcentral.
GUAGGCCUACGGGGCGCAGCAGUGGGGAAUAUUGCACAAUGGGGGAAACCCUGAUGCAGCAACGCCGCGUGAGUGAAGAAGUAUUUCGGUAUGUAAAGCUCUAUCAGCAGGGAAGAAGAUGACGGUACCUGAAUAAGAAGCCCCGGCUAACUACGUGCCAGCAGCCGCGGUAAUACGUAGGGGGCAAGCGUUAUCCGGAUUUACUGGGUGUAAAGGGAGCGCAGACGGCAGUGCAAGUCUGGAGUGAAAGCCCGGGUCCCAACCCAGGCACUGCUCUGGAAACUGUGCGGCUAGAGUACUGGUGG